GCUGAGUUAGUGAAAUGGCAUCACGACGGUCUCCAAAACCGUAAGCGCAGGUUCGAUUCCUGCACGCAGUGC
This 72-nucleotide transfer RNA is filed under the name Arthrobacter sp. Bi26. RNAcentral's name for it is "tRNA-Trp". It matches the Rfam family "tRNA". From Rfam's summary of the family: Transfer RNA (tRNA) molecules are approximately 80 nucleotides in length. Their secondary structure includes four short double-helical elements and three loops (D, anti-codon, and T loops). The record is from RNAcentral. Lineage: Bacteria; Bacillati; Actinomycetota; Actinomycetes; Micrococcales; Micrococcaceae.